RNAcentral lists this ribosomal RNA (32 nucleotides) under Peziza vesiculosa. RNAcentral describes it as "partial 18S ribosomal RNA". Lineage: Eukaryota; Fungi; Ascomycota; Pezizomycetes; Pezizales; Pezizaceae. The record is from RNAcentral.
CCGUAGGUGAACCUGCGGAAGGAUCAUUACUG